This 305-nucleotide ribosomal RNA is filed under the name uncultured bacterium. Its description in RNAcentral is "bacterial SSU rRNA". It matches the Rfam family "Bacterial small subunit ribosomal RNA", at positions 333 to 634 of the family's 1533-position model. The record is from RNAcentral.
CAGCUCCUACGGGAGGCAGCAGUGAGGAAUAUUGGUCAAUGGGCUUACGCCUGAACCAGCCAAGUCGCGUGAGGGAAGACUGCCCUAUGGGUUGUAAACCUCUUUUGUUAGGGAGCAAUUGGCGCUACGUGUAGCGUUAUCGAGAGUACCUGAAGAAAAAGCAUCGGCUAACUCCGUGCCAGCAGCCGCGGUAAUACGGAGGAUCCGAGCGUUAUCCGGAUUUAUUGGGUUUAAAGGGAGCGUAGAUGGGUUGUUAAGUCAGUUGUGAAAGUUUGCGGCUCAACCGUAAAAUUGCAAUUGAUACU